GUAAUCGUGUCUUACGGACCACUAUGGUUAAAGUGUCCAACUUGUAUGCGGGAUGUCGCGGGUUCGAACCCCGGCCGAGUCAUACC
Molecule: non-coding RNA, 86 nt
Organism: Potamilus streckersoni
Lineage: Eukaryota; Metazoa; Mollusca; Bivalvia; Unionida; Unionidae
Source: the annotation of a GenBank genome assembly